AGACCCGAAACCCGGUGAUCUAGCCAUGGGCAGGUUGAAGGUUGGGUAACACUAACUGGAGGACCGAACCGACUAAUGUUGAAAAAUUAGCGGAUGACCUGUGGCUGGGGGUGAAAGGCCAAUCAAACCGGGAGAUAGCUGGUUCUCCCCGAAAGCUAUUUAGGUAGCGCCUCGUGAAUUCAUCUCCGGGGGUAGAGCACUGUUUCGGCUAGGGGGCCAUCCCGGCUUACCAACCCGAUGCAAACUGCGAAUACCGGAGAAUGUUAUCACGGGAGACACACGGCGGGUGCUAACGUCCGUCGUGAAGAGGGAAACAACCCAGACCGCCAGCUAAGGUCCCAAAGUCAUGGUUAAGUGGGAAACGAUGUGGGAAGGCCCAGACAGCCAGGAUGUUGGCUUAGAAGCAGCCAUCAUUUAAAGAAAGCGUAAUAGCUCACUGGUCGAGUCGGCCUGCGCGGAAGAUGUAACGGGGCUAAACCAUGCACCGAAGCUGCGGCAGCGACGCUGAUGCGUUGUUGGGUAGGGGAGCGUUCUGUAAGCCUGUGAAGGUGGCCUGUGAGGGUUGCUGGAGGUAUCAGAAGUGCGAAUGCUGACAUAAGUAACGAUAAAGCGGGUGAAAAGCCCGCUCGCCGGAAGACCAAGGGUUCCUGUCCAACGUUAAUCGGGGCAGGGUGAGUCGACCCCUAAGGCGAGGCCGAAAGGCGUAGUCGAUGGGAAACGGGUUAAUAUUCCCGUACUUGGUGUUACUGCGAAGGGGGGACGGAGAAGGCUAUGUUGGCCGGGCGACGGUUGUCCCGGUUUAAGCGUGUAGGUGUGUGUUCCAGGUAAAUCCGGUUCACUUUAACACUGAGGCGUGAUGACGAGGCACUACGGUGCUGAAGCAACAAAUGCCCUGCUUCCAGGAAAAGCCUCUAAGCAUCAGGUAACAUCAAAUCGUACCCCAAACCGACACAGGUGGUCAGGUAGAGAAUACCAAGGCGCUUGAGAGAACUCGGGUGAAGGAACUAGGCAAAAUGGUGCCGUAACUUCGGGAGAAGGCACGCUGACACGUAGGUGAAGUGAUUUACUCAUGGAGCUGAAGUCAGUCGAAGAUACCAGCUGGCUGCAACUGUUUAUUAAAAACACAGCACUGUGCAAACACGAAAGUGGACGUAUACGGUGUGACGCCUGCCCGGUGCCGGAAGGUUAAUUGAUGGGGUCAGCGCAAGCGAAGCUCCUGAUCGAAGCCCCGGUAAACGGCGGCCGUAACUAUAACGGUCCUAAGGUAGCGAAAUUCCUUGUCGGGUAAGUUCCGACCUGCACGAAUGGCGUAAUGAUGGCCAGGCUGUCUCCACCCGAGACUCAGUGAAAUUGAACUCGCUGUGAAGAUGCAGUGUACCCGCGGCAAGACGGAAAGACCCCGUGAACCUUUACUAUAGCUUGACACUGAACAUUGAGCCUUGAUGUGUAGGAUAGGUGGGAGGCUUUGAAGUGUGGACGCCAGUCUGCAUGGAGCCGACCUUGAAAUACCACCCUUUAAUGUUUGAUGUUCUAACGUGGACCCGUAAUCCGGGUUGCGGACAGUGUCUGGUGGGUAGUUUGACUGGGGCGGUCUCCUCCUAAAGAGUAACGGAGGAGCACGAAGGUUGGCUAAUCCUGGUCGGACAUCAGGAGGUUAGUGCAAUGGCAUAAGCCAGCUUGACUGCGAGCGUGACGGCGCGAGCAGGUGCGAAAGCAGGUCAUAGUGAUCCGGUGGUUCUGAAUGGAAGGGCCAUCGCUCAACGGAUAAAAGGUACUCCGGGGAUAACAGGCUGAUACCGCCCAAGAGUUCAUAUCGACGGCGGUGUUUGGCACCUCGAUGUCGGCUCAUCACAUCCUGGGGCUGAAGUAGGUCCCAAGGGUAUGGCUGUUCGCCAUUUAAAGUGGUACGCGAGCUGGGUUUAGAACGUCGUGAGACAGUUCGGUCCCUAUCUGCCGUGGGCGCUGGAGAACUGAGGGGGGCUGCUCCUAGUACGAGAGGACCGGAGUGGACGCAUCACUGGUGUUCGGGUUGUCAUGCCAAUGGCACUGCCCGGUAGCUAAAUGCGGAAGAGAUAAGUGCUGAAAGCAUCUAAGCACGAAACUUGCCCCGA
Molecule: ribosomal RNA, 2111 nt
Filed under: Salmonella enterica
Lineage: Bacteria; Pseudomonadati; Pseudomonadota; Gammaproteobacteria; Enterobacterales; Enterobacteriaceae
Also listed under: 1 other name
Description: partial 23S ribosomal RNA
Rfam family: Bacterial large subunit ribosomal RNA
Source: RNAcentral